This is a long non-coding RNA of Carassius auratus (goldfish), 765 nucleotides long. RefSeq lists it as uncharacterized. The transcript is spliced from 3 exons. The record is from RefSeq and is a predicted model, not a curated record. NCBI's taxonomy places the organism in Eukaryota, Metazoa, Chordata, Actinopteri, Cypriniformes, Cyprinidae.
UUAUCAGAUUUGUAAGUUGUUUAACGUUAUCAGUUUGCCAACAUGUUUCCGUUUAAUAUUUUUAAUGGUCAAUAUUUUCAAAUUCCAUUUGCAUUUUGGCUUAUUAUAUAUUUGAUAAUUGACUGUAACAGACAGUUAGUAUUGACAACUUAUGCUUUUGCUAUCACAGAGUGACUGAUAAUUUAGGCUAGGAAAUAAUUUGCUUUGCUUUUAAUUGUUUGCUUCUGAAUCUUUCAUUACCCACAGGUUUGCAUCUACCGUAUUGGGGUAACCGUGAAGUUAGCCAUUCCUGACAGCGCUGGACAAUCACACCCAGGGGUUGCUAAAGAUGUACAGAGCCAAAGCAAGACAGGGAAGGUGAAACAACUUGGAUGAACUUCUGGAACAACUGGAUGCCCAGACCACAGAUCUAACUACUUAUAGAAGGUCUUCUGUUCUUCGUGGUCUUCCACUGUACUUGAGAGAGCCAGCUUCAAUUUCAAAGACUAUUAAGGAUACUGAGGCACUGGGGCCACACACAAAGGCCAUGAAAAUGGGGAUCCUGGAAGUGACUGACAGUUCUACCAACUCAGGACCAUAUCCCACAGUGGUCGAUGUGGCUGUAGUACUGGAGGAGGAAGCUGUCAUGGACAAUCUGGGAGACUUCACAAAUGCCCUCAUGAUGCUUGUUUUGGCACUGGUUGAAUACUUGUGUAAUAUUUUACUUGAGCCUAACAGGCAAGUUCAUAUGUAUUUAAAUAAAUACAUAAAAUCUUCUUUAUCAAA